UCUCUUGUGACUCAGCUGGUAAAGAAUCUGCCUGCAAUGCAGGAGACCUGGGUUUGAUUCCUGGCUUGGGAA
Molecule: transfer RNA, 72 nt
Filed under: Ovis aries (sheep)
Lineage: Eukaryota; Metazoa; Chordata; Mammalia; Artiodactyla; Bovidae
Rfam family: tRNA
About the family: Transfer RNA (tRNA) molecules are approximately 80 nucleotides in length. Their secondary structure includes four short double-helical elements and three loops (D, anti-codon, and T loops).
Source: Rfam by way of RNAcentral